UGUAAUGAUUUGUUUUGAUUAGAUUUUACAUGAUAUUCAAUUGUGAAAUUUAAAAAUAUUGGCGGUGUUUUAUUUUAUUCUGAGAAUCUUGUAUAGUUAAAAUGAUAGUGCACAAUAGAUCUUACCUCUAAUUGAUUUGGCUUAUUUAUUGCUGUUUAAUUUAUAAUUUAUUUUGAAAUAAUUUUAAUUUUAUAAAGAAAAAAAAAUUCAAGUCAAGAUGUAGUUUUUUGGAGGAUUAUAUGAGUUGCGUUUUUCUAGAAUGAAAAGAUAUAAAUAUUUAUUUGAAAAAAUUUUUGUUUUUUAGGAUUAGGAAGUAAAAGAAAAUUAGGAAAGUUUUUUUGAUAAUUUUUAUAAUCAUGU
RNAcentral lists this ribosomal RNA (360 nucleotides) under Pacal tepezcuintle. RNAcentral's name for it is "partial small subunit ribosomal RNA". Lineage: Eukaryota; Metazoa; Arthropoda; Arachnida; Schizomida; Hubbardiidae. The record is from RNAcentral.